RNAcentral lists this transfer RNA (70 nucleotides) under Podarcis lilfordi (Lilford's wall lizard). RNAcentral describes it as "tRNA.Ile". Lineage: Eukaryota; Metazoa; Chordata; Lepidosauria; Squamata; Lacertidae. The record is from RNAcentral.
GGCUGGCUCAGUUGGUUAGAGUGUGGUGCUGAUAACGCCAAGGUCACAGGUUCGAUCCCCAGAAGGGACA